UUUUAUCAAAAGUGCUUCUCAAAAAAGUGCUUUUGGAGAGAAGCUACUUUUUUCUGCUUCUCCAAAACUGCUUCUGCUUCUCCUCAAAAGCACUUUUUUUGCUUCCAAAAGCUUGGCCAAACACCUCAAUUUUUGGCCAAAAGUGCUUUUGAUAAAAAAAAAAAGCACUAUUAGCCAAAAAGAAGCUUGGCCAAACAGGCUAUUAUUAUGGUCUAUACAAAAAUUAAUAUCUGGUCUCUAAUAUCGAUUUCAGAGGGAUAGGGGCGCGAAAUUGACGAAAACUAAAGUUAAAAGAAAAAAAAAGUAAAGCUCCAAAAAUUUCAUGUUAAUCCCUCCAAAUUAUCUUUCACCCUAAAAUCCCUUCAAUACGCUAAAAUCCCUAAGAAUUGGCCGCAAAACUUCAUCAAAAUGCACAAGGUUGCAAAGAACUCAGAAGGUAGGUUAGUGUCUAAAAUUCAUCACUCUCCAAGAGACUUUACACAAAUUAUACCAUUGGAUUAUCCACCAAAAAAAAGUAAGUUUAAUUUCUUUCUCUUUAAUCUAUUCUAUUUCUUUUUUCUUCUUCAUGUUUUUUUUUCCGAUUAAAUCAGAAAUCGAAAAAAGUGUUCUGCAAUUUUUUGUUUCUUUAGCUAUUUUCUGCAAUUGGUUAUUUUGAAUACUGAUUUUUCUUGUGUGAGUGAUAAAGUGAGAUUAUUAGGUUUAACAUUGGGUGAUCUUUAUUGUGUGAGGACAAAUUUGUACAAAAGAAGGGUUGUAUGGUUGCUCGUAAAAUCAUCGGACAUCAGAGAAUGUCAAAUACCCCAGAACUGAAAUUUCAUCAAAAAUGGGUAUUGGUUGCUCGUAUUAGGACUGCAAUAUGAUUUAUAAUUCGAUUCAUCAUAUCCCAACAUUCAGUCAUGGAAUAUAUUCUACUUUUUUUGUCUUUCAAGAAAAUGGGGCUCAAAUGUGAGUAAUGAUAAGGCAAAGAGAAACCAGCCAUGCAAAGGCUGCAAACACCGGGUAUACCGGCUUGCCAUGCCAAGAUACAGGUCGGUUAAUCGCCCAAUGCCCGAAUUGGUAAGCCCAGAUAUAGAAACACCAUCCUCACUACCUCUUCAUGUACUUUUCCUCAACACAGAAAAAACAAAAUACACACUUACACACAAGAAAGAUAGAGAUGUAAGUAUAUAGAUUUUUUCUUGUAGAGUUUUGUCUAUGCGAUAGUUUUAUCCUUUGAGAUUUACAUUAUAGAAUUCUUCUGGGGACUUUCUCGAAGGGUCAUGAAAAUAUUGUAGGAUAUCUUGUGGUUUUUCAUAUGAGGUGAUGAAUUGGUUGAAUUUUUUCAUAUGCUUUAUCAAAUCUAUUCUUUUGUAAGAAUUUAAUUGAUGAUAACUGGAACUUGGUAAGUUCUUAUUUGCAAUAUUAGCUGCUAUAUCUAGUGUAGAUCCCACUUUAUUGAGUAUAAGUACCCCCUAUUCAAUGACUCUUUCCCGGCUUAUGUAGCACUUAUGAAUAACUUCAUAUCUGAAAGCUAAUUUCUAUUAAGCUUCAGUUGAAUUAAUAUCAUUAAAGUUGGGUAUUAGGAACCUUUAACUUCUUUAAGUGUCUAUCUUGUGCAAACUAAAGUUUGUUAAACACAAGAUAAUUUAGCCUAUCAAAUCCAUAUAGAUUACUACGACACUCGAUAGCGCAUGACCAUUAGGAUAUUUUUUUAAUUUGCAUCAUAUUCUAAUCAACAAGUUCUUAGUUAAUGAUAUGAUACAUACUGGAGAGUAAUUCAUGUGCUUUAGCUCUCACACAUUGAUACGUACGUUUUUGAGUCAUAAAACUUGUAUAUUUGUUAUAGGCUUAUAUCUACCACCUAAAUUAAUUAGUACAUCAAAAACUUUACUCGGGAGAUGUUAUCUUCUACUCAUUUAAUGUGCAAUCAUAUAUUUCCUUUUCUAGCUUAUAUUUGUGAAUGGAUAUUUAUAGACUUACUUGGGAGACUUACUGCUUCCAACUUGUGUCUGUGUGUUAUGAGUGAGUCUGGAUAUGUGUAAUAGCUCUAAUUGGCAAAAAAGAUGACUGGCAGAAGAGAAGGAGCAUUGAGGUUGAUGGUAUGUUGCACUUAUGUUGUUUCUUUUGCAAGAGCUUUUCAGAUGUCUAUAGCAUUGAAGUCACCUGUGUAAUUUCAGCCUACCAUAUGUUUGGUACAAAUGUUGCAUUAAAUCAAGAUGAAAAUGAAUAUGGGGUACCCCAAGAAUAUUGACAGGUAUUCAGAUGUCUAUAGCAUUGCAUGUUCUGCUGGCGUAGCUACUGCUGGUACAACAGUUGAUGAUGUAGCUACUGCUGGUGCCUGUUCUAUGUUUUAAAUUCAUAAAAUUGAAAUAAAGGUAAGGCAUAUACUAGACUUUGGUCAAAUUAAUUCAAGACUCAUUGUAGAACUAUGUCGAUCCUAAAACAAUUGAGAAACAUGUGAGUUUGGUUAAUUGAACAUGUUUUUUACUUUUAGUUAUUAUGGGAUCUGAUAAAAAUUCCUCUAUAUGCUUUGUAGGCUCAAAUCCAGGAAUUGGUGCAGUCUGAACCAUCACUUCCUACAAUAGAGUUGCAGAAAAAUGCUUUGGACCUCAAAGUGAUAGUCAUGUAUUUGGUUUUGGGGGUGGAUUAAAGGCAAAAGAUUUGACAGGUGGAACUGCCUCAAAAACCGAAUUAUUGGCUAAGUUAUGUUCAACUGAAAAUAAAAACCAGUUUUUGAAGGAUCGUUUGUCUAACUUUGAAAAUGAAAUGAGAGAACUUAAGAAAAUAAAAGAAUUAGUAUUAGUGCAACAAACUAAUUUCCAACCUUCAGUAUGGGAGAAUGAUUAUUCGGCUCCUUGAUGAUACCAAAAUUUCUUAUUCUAUUAAUUCUGAAUUUGGUGGUCGAUAACCCAUACUGGUUGUUCAAAGUGACAAUUGGAAUGAAAAAACUUCUCUUAAGCUUUGUGAUAUGCUGAAAGAGCUUAGACCAGCUGACUCAGUGACCGCUUUGACAGUUCUCCCAAAACUCCAUGGAGAGAGAUGAGCUUAAAUCAGCUCAUUUGGUGCAUUACGUGUUAACAAAGCCUCUUCGGCCGAGUGUGUUAAUUUCAUGCUUUCAAGAAACCCUUGGCUUCGGAAACAAGAGGCAUGUAAAAAGGGGAAAACUUCCAACUCGUGGAAGUUUGCUAAAGGGAAGACAUAUCCUGGGGAUAGAUGAUAAUGUUGUAAACAGAAGAGUGGCAGAAGGUGCUCUCAAAAAGUAUGGAGCUAUAUCAACCUGUGUGGAUAGUAGGAAGGCUGCUUUGGCACUUUUCACGCCACCACAUAAGUAUGAUGCUUGCUUUAUGGAUCUCCAAAUGCCAUAAAUGGAAGGCAAUAACAACAGAUGUUAUUCAAGCAACAGAUGCAAAGUGCAUGAAGUGUGGAAUGGAUUAUUAUGUGGCAAAACCAUUUGAAGAAGGGCAACUUUAUUCAGCAAUCGCCCACUUCUUUGUGUGUGAUUGAUUAGGAGGUGUUUCAAGUAACUAUAUAAUGGAGGUACCGGUUGAGGUUCCGCCUGAUGGUUUAUUUUAAUUUGGUUGUGAAAAAGCUCAUCAGUUGCCUGAAUGUCCGAUUAAUGCAUUUCUACGUCGGAAGUGGAUGGAGGACCUUGGCUGCUCAGAUGUCUGAUAGUUGGUUCGUAAUGUUGCUGCUGGAUAAUGUAGCAGAUUCAGAACAAAUACAUCUAUCAUGACUUAUGUGGUAUCAUGACCUAUAUACACAUUGAGAACUUUCUUGUUUAAUAUUGGAUGAACUCAAAGUGGGAAAUAAAGUUUGCUACUGCAAUAAUAUAUAAUAACAUUUAGUUAUUUCCAUGCAA
This is a long non-coding RNA of Nicotiana tabacum (common tobacco), 3838 nucleotides long. RefSeq lists it as uncharacterized. The record is from RefSeq and is a predicted model, not a curated record. Lineage: Eukaryota; Viridiplantae; Streptophyta; Magnoliopsida; Solanales; Solanaceae.